This 379-nucleotide long non-coding RNA is filed under the name Gossypium raimondii (Peruvian cotton). Its description in RNAcentral is "long non-coding RNA (GRAI_LNC002140)". The record is from RNAcentral. Lineage: Eukaryota; Viridiplantae; Streptophyta; Magnoliopsida; Malvales; Malvaceae.
UUGAAACAAAAAAAUGAAAAGGGCUGGGUGUGGCGGAAUAGUAGAAUAUAGUAAUGACAGAAAUUUGGGCAGCAAAAAAAAAUUCAAAACUAACCUUUUUUUUUCACAAAUUGUUUUUUCACAACUUGAUAUCCAAUCUUUUUGAGUUUGAAUGGAAAUAAAUUUUUUUUCGUAUUUUUUUUUCAAUUUUUUUCGAAGAAACUACUAUACGGUAAUACUAAAAGCGUCGAUUCUUACUCCAAAUUCGCUAGCUUUGAUACCAAUUUGAUACGAACCGCCUUAGUGUUGAGUUGAGUCAUAUUUGAAUUUCCCGAUGGUGAAUUGAGUAGGAUAGAUUCAUUUCAGUUUUAAAAGAAACAAAAUAGAGAUAAUGGCUUCA